GGGGGAUAUUGCACAAUGGAGGAAACUCUGAUGCAGCAACGCCGCGUGAGGGAAGACGGUUUUCGGAUUGUAAACCUCUGUCUUUGGUGAAGAUAAUGACGGUAGCCAAAGAGGAAGCUCCGGCUAACUACGUGCCAGCAGCCGCGGUAAUACGUAGGGAGCAAGCGUUGUCCGGAUUUACUGGGUGUAAAGGGUGCGUAGGCGGCUUAUCAAGUCAGGCGUGAAAUAUAUGGGCUUAACCCAUAGACUGCGUUUGAAACUGAUGAGCUUGAGUGAAGUAGAGGUAGGCGGAAUUCCCGGUGUAGCGGUGAAAUGCGUAGAGAUCGGGAGGAACACCAGUGGCGAAGGCGGCCUACUGGGCUUUAACUGACGCUGAGGCACGAAAGCAUGGGUAGCAAAC
RNAcentral lists this ribosomal RNA (400 nucleotides) under uncultured bacterium. Its description in RNAcentral is "bacterial SSU rRNA". It matches the Rfam family "Bacterial small subunit ribosomal RNA", at positions 356 to 773 of the family's 1533-position model. The record is from RNAcentral.